UACAGAGGGUGCAAGCGUUAAUCGGAAUUACUGGGCGUAAAGCGUGCGUAGACGGUUAUGUAAGUCAGAUGUGAAAGCCCCGGGCUUAACCUGGGAAUGGCAUUUGAGACUGCAUAGCUAGGGUGCGGAAGAGGGAAGCGGAAUUUCCGGUGUAGCGGUGAAAUGCGUAGAUAUCGGAAGGAACACCAGUGGCGAAGGCGACUUCCUGGCCUGUUCUUGACGCUGAGGCGCGAAAGCUAGGGGAGCAAACGGG
RNAcentral lists this ribosomal RNA (253 nucleotides) under uncultured bacterium. RNAcentral describes it as "partial 16S ribosomal RNA". It matches the Rfam family "Bacterial small subunit ribosomal RNA", at positions 524 to 776 of the family's 1533-position model. The record is from RNAcentral.